RNAcentral lists this unclassified non-coding RNA (200 nucleotides) under Thelephoraceae sp. Its description in RNAcentral is "partial internal transcribed spacer 2". Lineage: Eukaryota; Fungi; Basidiomycota; Agaricomycetes; Thelephorales; Thelephoraceae. The record is from RNAcentral.
UUAAGUUCAGCGGGUAGUCCUACCUGAUUUGAGAUCAAACGUUCAAAAAGCUGUCCCUCGCUGAGGAGAGACGUUUAUGAGCCCCAGCGAACCUCCAUCACUGAAGGUUACCUGAUGGAAAACCACAAGCGUAGAUAGUUAUCACACCUGUGAUGCCACCAAACACUGGCAAGCUGAUUUAUUUGAGAGGAGCUGACCAC